RNAcentral lists this ribosomal RNA (1061 nucleotides) under Diomedea exulans (Wandering albatross). RNAcentral describes it as "partial 16S ribosomal RNA". It matches the Rfam family "Bacterial large subunit ribosomal RNA", at positions 853 to 2618 of the family's 2925-position model. The record is from RNAcentral. Lineage: Eukaryota; Metazoa; Chordata; Aves; Procellariiformes; Diomedeidae.
UUGCCUGUGAAACGAAUCUGAGUUCUCCCUUAAUUCUCCUCCAAGGCAUUUAACCAACCAUCCUGUAGCAAAUUAAGAGUAAUUUAAAGGAGGUACAGCUCCUUUAAAAAAGAACACAAUCUUCCCUAGCGGAUAACCACCCAACUACUCUCUUCAACUGUGGGCCCUUAAGCAGCCACCAACAAAGAGUGCGUCAAAGCUCUAUGCCUAAAAAUUUUUAAACAACGCGAUUCCCUUAUUACCAACAGGCCAACCUAUAACAAUAGGAGGAUUAAUGCUAAAAUGAGUAACUGGGGGCCACCCUCCCAAGCGCAAGCUUACAUUCACACAUUAUUAACAGUACAACUAAUACCACAAUUACUAACAAGACUAAAUAUUAACUCACCCUGUUAACCCGACUCAGGAGCGCCCACUAGAAAGAUUAAAAUCUGUAAAAGGAACUAGGCAAGCCCAAGGCCCGACUGUUUACCAAAAACAUAGCCUUCAGCUGACCAAGUAUUGAAGGUGAUGCCUGCCCAGUGACACCACGUUUAACGGCCGCGGUAUCCUAACCGUGCAAAGGUAGCGCAAUCAAUUGUCCCAUAAAUCGAGACUUGUAUGAAUGGCUAAACGAGGUCUUAACUGUCUCUUACAGAUAAUCAGUGAAAUUGAUCUUCUUGUGCAAAAGCAAGAAUAAACCCAUAAGACGAGAAGACCCUGUGGAACUUAAAAAUCACCGGCCACUACCAAUAAACUUCAAACCUAUCAGGCUCACUACCUUCAAAACACUGGUCUACAUUUUUCGGUUGGGGCGACCUUGGAGAAAAGCAGAUCCUCCAAAAAUAAGACCACAUCUCUUAACUAAGAGGAACCUCUCAACGUACUAACAGUAACCAGACCCAAUAUAAUUGACCAAUGGACCAAGCUACCCCAGGGAUAACAGCGCAAUCUCCUCCGAGAGCUCAUAUCGACGAGGAGGUUUACGACCUCGAUGUUGGAUCAGGACAUCCUAGUGGUNCANCCGCUACUAAGGGUUCGUUUGUUCAACGAUUAAUAGUCNUACGUGAUCUGAGUUCAGACCG